GCCCUUGUAGUAUAAUAUUCAAUACCUUGGUCUUGUAAACCAGUAACGGAGACACUACUCCCUAGGGCAA
This 70-nucleotide transfer RNA is filed under the name Palaeopropithecus ingens (large sloth lemur). RNAcentral describes it as "tRNA-Thr". It matches the Rfam family "tRNA". Rfam says of the family: Transfer RNA (tRNA) molecules are approximately 80 nucleotides in length. Their secondary structure includes four short double-helical elements and three loops (D, anti-codon, and T loops). The record is from RNAcentral. Lineage: Eukaryota; Metazoa; Chordata; Mammalia; Primates; Palaeopropithecidae.